Molecule: ribosomal RNA, 1587 nt
Filed under: bacterium
Lineage: Bacteria
Description: bacterial SSU rRNA
Rfam family: Bacterial small subunit ribosomal RNA
Source: RNAcentral
UACACGAAGAGUUUGAUCCUGGCUCAGGAUUAACGCUGGCAGUGUGUAUAAUACAUGCAAGUCGACUGCAUUUAGUUGCAGGGCAGACGGGUGAGUAACACGUUGGAACCUGCCCCGAACUCAGGGAUAACACCGAGAAAUUGGUGAUAAUACCGGAUAGUCCCCAGUUCCUCGCUGCGCUUGAAACAACGAGGAAAUAAAGAAAUGAAGAAAUGAAGAGUCUGAGUCCCUAUGGGGACUAGACUUCGUUUCCUCGUUUCCUUGUUUCUUUAUUGCGACGAGCAUAGCGAGGAGCUGGGGUAAAGAUUUAUCGGUUCGGGAGGGGCCUGCGCAGUAUCAGCUUGUUGGUGAGGUAAUGGCUCACCAAGGCUAUGACGCUUAGCUGGUCUGAGAGGAUGAUCAGCCACAAUGGAACUGAGACACGGUCCAUACUCCUACGGGAGGCAGCAGUAAAGAAUCUUCCGCAAUGGGCGAAAGCCUGACGGAGCAACACUGCGUGGGGGAUGAAGGCCUUCGGGUCGUAAACUCCUUUUCUGAGGGAAGAAGUUCUGACGGUACCUCAGGAAUAAGCGACGGCUAAUUACGUGCCAGCAGCCGCGGUAAUACGUAAGUCGCAAGCGUUAUCCGGAAUUAUUGGGCGUAAAGCGUCCGUAGGCGGUUUUGUAAGUCUGUGGUUAAAGCCCGGGGCUCAACCCCGGAAUCGUCACGGAAACUACAUCACUUGAGUAGUGCAGGGGCAGAUGGAAUUCCAGAAGUAGGGGUAAAAUCCGUAGAUCUCUGGAGGAACACCAAACGCGAAGGCAUUCUGCUGGGCACUUACUGACGCUGAAGGACGAAAGCGUGGGGAGCAAACGGGAUUAGAUACCCCGGUAGUCCACGCUGUAAACGAUGGAUACUCGGUAUCAGAGGCUUCGACCCCUUUGGUGCCUAAGCUAACGCAUUAAGUAUCCCGCCUGGGUAGUACGGUCGCAAGAUUAAAACUCAAAGGAAUAGACGGGGACCUACACAAGCGGUGGAGCAUGUGGUUUAAUUCGAUAAUAAGCGGGAAACCUUACCAGGACUUGACAUCUCGGGAAUUUCUUAGAAAUAGGAAAGUGCCUUCGGGAACCCGAUGACAGGUGUUGCAUGGUUGUCGUCAGCUCGUGCCUUGAGGUGUUCUGUUAAGUCAGUAAACGAGCGCAACCCUCAUCGUAUGUUGUUUAUUUCAUGCGAGACUGCCUGGUCCAACCAGGAGGAAGGUGAGGAUGACGUCAAAUCAGCAUGGCCCUUAUGCCCUGGGCCACACACGUGCUACAAUGGUCGGUACAAAGGGUUGCCAAGCCGCAAGGCGGAGCCAAUCCCAUAAAACCGAUCCAAGUUCGGAUUGAGGGCUGCAAUUCGCCCUCAUGAAGCUGGAAUCGCUAGUAAUCGUGAAUCAUCACGUCACGGUGAAUACGUUCCUGGGUCUUGUACUCACCGCCCGUCAAGUCAUGGAAGCUGGGGGCAUUCGAAGUUCCCGAACAAUCGGGACCCAAGGUGAAACCAGUGACUGGGACUAAGUCGUAACAAGGUAUCCGUAGGAGAACCUGCGGAUGGAUUACCUCCUAU